ACGCACGCUGGCGGCGUGCCUCAUACAUGCAAGUAGAACGCACAGUUUAUACCGUAGCUUGCUACACCAUAGACUGUGAGUUGCGAACGGGUGAGUAACGCGUAGGUAACCUGCCUGGUAGCGGGGGAUAACUAUUGGAAACGAUAGCUAAUACCGCAUAAUAUUAAUUAUUGCAUGAUAAUUAAUUGAAAGGUGCAAUUGCACCACUACCAGAUGGACCUGCGUUGUAUUAGCUAGUAGGUGAGGUAACGGCUCACCUAGGCGACGAUACAUAGCCGACCUGAGAGGGUGAUCGGCCACACUGGGACUGAGACACGGCCCAGACUCCUACGGGAGGCAGCAGUAGGGAAUCUUCGGCAAUGGACGAAAGUCUGACCGAGCAACGCCGCGUGAGUGAAGAAGGUUGUCGGAUCGUAAAGCUCUGUUGUAAGAGAAGAACGGGUGUGAGAGUGGAAAGUUCACACUGUGACGGUAUCUUACCAGAAAGGGACGGCUAACUACGUG
This 504-nucleotide ribosomal RNA is filed under the name uncultured bacterium. Its description in RNAcentral is "partial 16S ribosomal RNA". It matches the Rfam family "Bacterial small subunit ribosomal RNA", at positions 29 to 507 of the family's 1533-position model. The record is from RNAcentral.